UACGUAGGUGGCAAGCGUUGUCCGGAUUUACUGGGCGUAAAGAGCGCGCAGGCGGUCGUUCAAGUCGCGUGUGAAAGCCCCCGGCUCAACUGGGGAGGGUCACGCGAUACUGAUCGACUGGAAGGCAGGAGAGGGUAGUGGAAUUCCCGGUGUAGUGGUGAAAUGCGUAGAUAUCGGGAGGAACACCAGUGGCGAAGGCGACUACCUGGACAUGUAUUGACGCUGAGGUGCGAAAGCGUGGGGAGCAAACAGG
This 253-nucleotide ribosomal RNA is filed under the name uncultured bacterium. RNAcentral describes it as "partial 16S ribosomal RNA". It matches the Rfam family "Bacterial small subunit ribosomal RNA", at positions 524 to 776 of the family's 1533-position model. The record is from RNAcentral.